GACGAACGCUGGCGGCGUGCCUAAUACAUGCAAGUCGAGCGGAACUGGGGGGAGCUUGCUCCUUCCAGUUUAGCGGCGGACGGGUGAGUAACACGUGGGCAACCUGCCCUGCAGAUCGGGAUAACUCCGGGAAACCGGUGCUAAUACCGAAUAGUUUGGCGCCUCUCCUGAGGCGCUACGGAAAGACGGUUUCGGCUGUCACUGCAGGAUGGGCCCGCGGCGCAUUAGCUAGUUGGUGGGGUAACGGCCCACCAAGGCGACGAUGCGUAGCCGACCUGAGAGGGUGACCGGCCACACUGGGACUGAGACACGGCCCAGACUCCUACGGGAGGCAGCAGUAGGGAAUCUUCCGCAAUGGACGCAAGUCUGACGGCGCAACGCCGCGUGAGUGACGAAGGUUUUCGGAUCGUAAAACUCUGUUGUGAGGGAAGAACACGUACCAACUAACUAUUGGUACCUUGACGGUACCUCACCAGAAAGCCACGGCUAACUACGUGCCAGCCGCCGCAGUAA
This 513-nucleotide ribosomal RNA is filed under the name uncultured bacterium. RNAcentral describes it as "partial 16S ribosomal RNA". It matches the Rfam family "Bacterial small subunit ribosomal RNA", at positions 28 to 523 of the family's 1533-position model. The record is from RNAcentral.